UUGGUUGGAGUCUCAACAAGAAUCACAACCAAAACAAUACAGAAUAGAAUUUGUAUUCAUAUUGUUCAUUGAGAAUGACUUCACCAAGCAGUCGCAAUGCCACCAAAAAGCAAGAAAGCGUAGCCAAGGAUUUGAUUGAGGGUGGACAAUCUUCUACUAAAAAUGGUUCUAGCAAUGGCACAGUGAAACAAACUGGAACCAGCACUGAGAAACUUCUGAAACCCGAUCCAGUGACUAAAGAUCCAAAGGGUCCUAGAAGCAAACGUCGAAAUUAAACAAUACCAAAUCACAAACAGGUUUACUUUCAAGUUCUCAUGUGGAUGGAAAAUAUGCAGCAACAAACUCUAUUAUAUAUUACUUCAAGAUUCAAUGUUUUUGUUUCCAACUUCGUUUAGAGUCUAGUGUUUACAAACUAAUGUGAGCUAAGAAAUAAGUCUACAUUGUUAUUAGUUAGUAAGUUAUGAUCUGGGAUUCACAUGUCUUUAUUUAUUUUUUCACAAGUUUGUAUUUGUAUUUGUAUUUGAUAAUAAAGUAACAUGUUAUAAUAAGAUUCAAGUUAAUAACGA
Molecule: long non-coding RNA, 566 nt
Organism: Vigna unguiculata (cowpea)
Lineage: Eukaryota; Viridiplantae; Streptophyta; Magnoliopsida; Fabales; Fabaceae
Source: RefSeq, a predicted model, not a curated record